RNAcentral lists this ribosomal RNA (414 nucleotides) under crenarchaeote SCGC AAA288-C17. Its description in RNAcentral is "SSU rRNA". It matches the Rfam family "Archaeal small subunit ribosomal RNA", at positions 464 to 878 of the family's 1478-position model. Lineage: Archaea; Thermoproteati; Thermoproteota. The record is from RNAcentral.
GCCGCGGUAAAACCAGCACCUCAAGUGGUCAGGAUGAUUAUUGGGCCUAAAGCAUCCGUAGCCGGCUCUGUAAGUUUUCGGUUAAAUCCAUACGCUCAACGUAUGGGCUGCCGAAAAUACUGUAGAGAUAGGGAGUGGGAGAGGUAGACGGUACUCGGUAGGAAGGGGUAAAAUCCUUUGAUCUAUCGAUGACCACCUGUGGCGAAGGCGGUCUACCAGAACACGUUCGACGGUGAGGGAUGAAAGCUGGGGGAGCAAACCGGAUUAGAUACCCGGGUAGUCCCAGCUGUAAACGAUGCAGACUCGAUGAUGCAUUGGCAUAUAGCCAGUGCAGUGUCGCAGGGAAGCCGUUAAGUCUGCCGCCUGGGAAGUACGUACGCAAGUAUGAAACUUAAAGGAAUUGGCGGGGGAGCA